RNAcentral lists this transfer RNA (84 nucleotides) under Candidatus Anaerobiospirillum merdipullorum. RNAcentral's name for it is "tRNA-Leu". It matches the Rfam family "tRNA". From Rfam's summary of the family: Transfer RNA (tRNA) molecules are approximately 80 nucleotides in length. Lineage: Bacteria; Pseudomonadati; Pseudomonadota; Gammaproteobacteria; Aeromonadales; Succinivibrionaceae. The record is from RNAcentral.
GGGGGAAUGGCGAAAUUGGUAGACGCACCAGAUUUAGGUUCUGGCACCCUAGGUGUAUGAGUUCGAGUCUCUUUUCCCCCACCA